This 521-nucleotide ribosomal RNA is filed under the name uncultured bacterium. RNAcentral describes it as "bacterial SSU rRNA". It matches the Rfam family "Bacterial small subunit ribosomal RNA", at positions 28 to 595 of the family's 1533-position model. The record is from RNAcentral.
AGCGAACGCUGGCGGCAGGCCUAACACAUGCAAGUCGAACGGACCCUUCGGGGUUAGUGGCGGACGGGUGAGUAACACGUGGGAACGUGCCUUUAGGUUCGGAAUAGCUCCUGGAAACGGGUGGUAAUGCCGAAUGUGCCCUUCGGGGGAAAGAUUUAUCGCCUUUAGAGCGGCCCGCGUCUUAUUAGCUUGUUGGUGGGGUAAUGGCCCACCAAGGCUACGAUCAGUAGCUGGUCUGAGAGGAUGACCAGCCACAUUGGGACUGAGACACGGCCCAAACUCCUACGGGAGGCAGCAGUGGGGAAUCUUGCGCAAUGGGCGAAAGCCUGACGCAGCCAUGCCGCGUGUAUGAUGAAGGUCUUAGGAUUGUAAAAUACUUUCACCGGUGAAGAUAAUGACUGUAGCCGGAGAAGAAGCCCCGGCUAACUUCGUGCCAGCAGCCGCGGUAAUACGAAGGGGGCUAGCGUUGCUCGGAAUUACUGGGCGUAAAGGGAGCGUAGGCGGACAUUUAAGUCAGGGGU